GAUGAAGAACGUAGCGAAAUGCGAUACUUGGUGUGAAUUGCAGAAUCCCGUGAACCAUCGAGUCUUUGAACGCAAGUUGCGCCCGAAGCCAUCAGGUUGAGGGCACGUCUGCCUGGGCGUCACAUAUCGUUGCUCGAUGCCUAUCGCAUUGCGAUAGGACUUAGGGCGAAUGAUGGCUUCCCGUGAGCGUUGUUGCCUCGCGGUUGGUUGAAAAUCGAGUCCUUGGUAGGGUGUGCCAUGAUAGAUGGUGGUCGAGUUAGCACGAGACGAUCAUGUGCAUGCUCCCCAAAAUAUGGCCUCUGUGACCCACACGCGUCUUUUGACGCUCAUGACGAGACCUCAGGUCAGGCGGGGCUACCCGCUGAAUUUAAGCAUAUCAAUAAGCGGAGGA
This 391-nucleotide unclassified non-coding RNA is filed under the name soil metagenome. RNAcentral's name for it is "partial contains 5.8S ribosomal RNA, internal transcribed spacer 2, and large subunit ribosomal RNA". The stretch from base 1 to 122 matches the Rfam family "5.8S ribosomal RNA", at positions 35 to 154 of the family's 154-position model. The record is from RNAcentral.